UUAGAAGGUUGGCAUUUGACCUGGUUCUAUGGCCAGAAUCCUUUCCUCCAAGGCUCUGCCAUGGUUGGGGCAGUCCACGGGAUCCGUCCUUCUCAGUUGAAGAGCUGGACCUGAAUGGAGUUCAGAAUAUUUACCUACUUAGCAACCCCUGCUUUCUGAGAGAAUGCCCAGUGUUUUGUCUGGCCUCUCUCAAAAACGAUAUUUCUGAGCCUCCAUUGGAGCUGGAUGUGAUUGUUUGACUAAGUUGCGGCCAAUGAGACGUGAAUAAGAAAUGAUGUUUGUAUCUCCUGGGACCCGGCCAUAAGAGGAAGGAGAAAGUCGACUUGAACCAGACCAUACAGGUCGCCGUCCUGAUCACUGGUUCCACAGCUGGCUCCAGGAGAUGCAUACUUGUGACCACCUACCUCUACUGCAGAAAAGCAUCUGAGGCGGAGAUUGUGGUGAGCCGAGAUCGCUCCAUUGCACUCCAGCCUGGGUAACAAGAGCGAAACUCCGUCUCAAAAAAAAGAAAAAAAAAGAAAAGCAUUUAUUUCACCAGCUGGCUUGGUCCAGUUAAUAUUUCUAUUAGGCAUUUCUAGAAGUGCAUCUAGAAUCAGUCCCUGGGCCCCCACAAACUCCAAAGAAGAUCAAUCAAUACCUGUGUUUCCCUCAAACCUGAAGUGGAUGCUGCCCCUUUUCCAUCCAUAACUCCAUGGUGGGUUUUCAUUUCCACAUGUGCCAGAGCACAUUUCCAAUCAUGACUUUAUGCUGAAAGUUCUCUUUGACCACAGGACCCAUUCUGCCUUUGCAAACGGCAGGGAAGCCACGCCAGAGAAUUAGCAUCUCUGCCCCCAAAAGCUGUCCUCAGAUGGCACCUGUUAAGAAUUGGUAAAUGAUCAUUACAUCAGGGUGCAUGGGAUAUCUGUCACCUCAAGCAUUUAUCCUUUUUUUCAUAUUACAAACAUUCCAAUUAUACUUGUGGUUAUUACUCAUAUGCCUGCAUCCAAAUAUCUCAUGUAACCCAUAAGUAUAUCACUAUAUACUCAUUAAAAUUA
Callithrix jacchus (white-tufted-ear marmoset) is the source of this 1034-nucleotide long non-coding RNA. RefSeq lists it as uncharacterized. NCBI's taxonomy places the organism in Eukaryota, Metazoa, Chordata, Mammalia, Primates, Cebidae. The record is from RefSeq and is a predicted model, not a curated record.